UUCAUGCUGGGAAGAUGCUGUGGGUGAACGUCCAGGGUCUGAUGGUGCUUGCUGAUGUCUCCCCUAGCUAGGAGAUUGCACUGAACCUGGCUCGGCCCUCCAAAGCGAGCCCCUGCCUGCACCCCAGCCAGCAGGACGGAGCGGCAUGGGUCAGAGGACCGCCUGGCGCUGGGGGGCCAUGGAUGCUGCUUGGAUUCAGGAGCCGCGGGCCCCUGAACCUGCCCCUUCCCCAGCUCCCCGAGCCUGUCCCAUCUGUCUGGGCCCUUCUCAAGCAGUGGUACCCACGGCUCUCCAAACACCUCGAAGACUGAAGGGCUGUUGUGGAUUUGUUUCCUGUUGCUGACCCAGUUGAUGCACCAUUGGUACCUGCAGUGGGAUUCCAUCCAAUGAGCAGCAUGGCACCUGAGACCCUCCUGACUGAAGCAGUAGCAAUUUAUGUGGCAACAGCAACCCCACCUGCAGCAGUUUACAUGGCAGCAGCAGCGGGUGUUCAUUCUCCCUCUUUCAGGGAGAAUGAACAGGCUGCUAAUCACAGAGAUCUGCUGCAGCUGGCAUUCUAGCCAUGUGCACACAGACUGAUUGCCCGGUUCUGCCUCCAAAUGCCUCCCUCCUGCAACCCAUGCUUCUCCCUCUGAGUUCCAGGCAGGUUUCUCCACUGCCAGGCCAGAGUCUAUCAGGAAAGCAAGGACCGUGGGGCUGCCCAACUCUAGAAGCUGGAGCAAUGGGCCCUACUCAGGCCCUUUGAUUGCCUUGGGUGGGGGAAGCUGGUAGUGCCAGGGGAUACCAUUAGAUAUUAGUGAAAGAAAGUGGUUAGCCUUGCCCACCCAAUGCCCCAAUGCCACCCUAUUGUGGGACUGAUUGGCACAACUAGCGGGUAAUGAGUUACUUGCCAUGCCCAGGUGGGCAUCCCCGAAGGAACGCCAAAACACCAAGGAACUUUGUUAAGUGCGGCUUGUUUCCUUCAGCAUGCUGGGGGUUAGCUUAACUCCUUCCUUUGGCCCCUGAGGUGGGAACAGAGAAACAGCCCCAGUUACCUGGGCGUGUGGAGGGGGAAGGUCUGUGCCAAAGGGGUGUGGAGUGGCAUCACCUGGCACUUUCCAGGGCUGGGCUAGAACCCAGGCCGAGUUUUCCAGUUGGUUUGCUCUUUAAUGGAUGCGUUGCAGCCGGGGCUGCAAAGCCGGGUUUCUCCCACUGCUGUCUCAUAGACUCAUAGACUUUAAGGUCAGAAGGGACCAUUAUGAUCAUCUAGUCUGACCUCCUGCACAAUGCAGGCUACAAAAUCUCACCCACCCACUCCUGGAACAAACCCCUAACUCAUUCAAACCAGCAGGACCCAAUUAACCCCAAUCCAUUUCACAAGGUUAUGCCUCAAUCGACCAUAUCUCUGGCCCACCCGCUGGCCACCUGGGCACCCGCUCAGCGGUGUUGGCCAUGCCCGGUGUGCCAAGCACCAGGUGCUAAAUGCUGCUCCAUCAGCCAGGGGGAUCAAACAUCGUCCAGAGCCACUUUAAAGGGACAUCAGCAGGAGAAGGCAAAUGUGGAGGAGCCAGUAGCUCAUUCAAGUCUCUUGGCGCCUGUUGCCCCUGAUCCCACCCACAACCAAGCCCCUGUGGCGGUGAGCUCAGCCCCACGGCGUCUCUCUCUCUGUCGCUUACACCGCUCCAAGAAUAAAACCUCGCAGGGGAAACUUGCUGACUAACGGGUGGGUUCUUGGCUGCUGAGCCAACUCCAAAGGCCUUCCGCUCCCCGCAGGGUUCCAAACUUCCCCUUCUUAUUUUUACCCACCCAUUAUUUACAUUCUCCUGUCUCUCCUUUCCAGCCCCUACCUACAGAUCAGCUGGGAGGCUCUUGCUGGUAGUCCCACAGCUCGACUUUCCCAGGGUGGGGCCUGCUUCCAGGGGGAGCUAUGGAUCUGCCUCCUGGGGGCGCUCUCCCAAAGCCUGGCUCUGAUGGCCCUGCAUUGGCUGCAGCGGCUACCUUGUUCUUGGGGUAGUUCUACCUAUAAUUGUCUGUGUUCUUUAGCAGCUGCAAAUAGCAUCUAGAUCUGAAGGUGAUCGAGGCUUUUAAAAUGACU
Long non-coding RNA from Gopherus evgoodei (Goodes thornscrub tortoise), 2074 nucleotides. RefSeq lists it as uncharacterized. NCBI's taxonomy places the organism in Eukaryota, Metazoa, Chordata, Testudines, Testudinidae. The transcript has 3 exons. The record is from RefSeq and is a predicted model, not a curated record.